UAGUUAUUAGUAUAUUUAGUAUAUUAAAUUUCCAAUUUAAAGGUUCUUUAGAAUAAUUUC
RNAcentral lists this transfer RNA (60 nucleotides) under Seison sp. MS-2015. RNAcentral's name for it is "tRNA-Gly". The record is from RNAcentral. Lineage: Eukaryota; Metazoa; Rotifera; Pararotatoria; Seisonacea; Seisonidae.